Molecule: ribosomal RNA, 515 nt
Filed under: uncultured bacterium
Lineage: Bacteria
Description: partial 16S ribosomal RNA
Rfam family: Bacterial small subunit ribosomal RNA
Source: RNAcentral
GAUGAACGCUGGCGGCGUGCCUAAUACAUGCAAGUCGAGCGAAAGGAUUAAGAGCUUGCUCUUAUGAAGUUAGCGGCGGACGGGUGAGUAACACGUGGGUAACCUGCCCAUAAGACUGGGAUAACUCCGGGAAACCGGGGCUAAUACCGGAUAACAUUUUGAACCGCAUGGUUCGAAAUUGAAAGGCGGCUCCGGCUGUCACUUAUGGAUGGACCCGCGUCGCAUUAGCCAGUUGGUGAGGUAACGGCUAACAAAGGCAACGAUGCGUAGCCGACCGGAGAGGGUGAUCGGCCACACUGGGACUGAGACACGGCCCAGACUCCUACGGGAGGCAGCAGUAGGGAAUCUUCCGCAAUGGACGAAAGUCUGACGGAGCAACGCCGCGUGAGUGAUGAAGGCUUUCGGGUCGUAAAACUCUGUUGUUAGGGAAGAACAAGUGCUAGUUGAAUAAGCUGGCACCUUGACGGUACCUAACCAGAAAGCCACGGCUAACUACGUGCCAGCCGCCGCAGUAA